UAUCCCCUGGUCUCCUUACCUAUUCCAACCUAAUGAUACAUGCAUCGUUUCUGGCUGGGGACGAGAAAAAGAUAAUGAAAGAGUCUUUUCACUUCAGUGGGGUGAAGUUAAACUAAUAAGCAACUGCUCUAAGUUUUACGGAAAUCGCUUCUAUGAAAAAGAAAUGGAAUGCGCAGGUAAGUGCCAAGUGGUUUAUCCAAGAUGUCAAGAUGUAUGUAUUUCCCCUAUCAAACAUCUCCUCCCACCACAUCAGCCCCCAUGCUUUGGGCCCUAAUUCCCUCCAUUUGGCCUUCUGGCUGUAGCACUCUCAAACACUUUCAGUCCCUUCCCUGUAGCUCAGGUUUCUUCCUCUAAUACUAUGAGGAAAAAUCCUCCUUAAGCGAUUCUAUAGCAGCACAGCAAGGUGACUAAGAGCACGACCUCUGGAACCAGACCUAGAUUUAUAUCCCAGCUUUUACUAAUUGCUAGUCAUGUGACCUUGAGCAGGUUUCUUCAUUUGUAAAAUUGAGGAUCAUAGAUAAGGCAUCUGAGAUGCAGAGCAGUUACAUAAUUUGUCCAAAGUCUUACAGACAAGAGGUGGUAUACCCAGGAUCAAAACUAAAUUACUUUUAAAUACAAAUUCAAGUUAUCUCAUCUCAAAUGAGAUGAGAUUUACUUCCAUUUGGAAGUAAAUUUUUCCCUCCAUGGAAAUCACAGCGCAUUUCUUACACCACGGACUCCUUUGAUAACAUGGUUAAGCUAAUUCUCCUGCCCAAUACAAUAGCAGCUCCUACUUUUGGAGGUGAUAC
This 788-nucleotide small RNA is filed under the name Pan troglodytes (chimpanzee). Its description in RNAcentral is "retained intron". The record is from RNAcentral. Lineage: Eukaryota; Metazoa; Chordata; Mammalia; Primates; Hominidae.